UAGGGAAUCUUCGGCAAUGGACGAAAGUCUGACCGAGCAACGCCGCGUGAGUGAAGAAGGUUUUCGGAUCGUAAAACUCUGUUGUUAGAGAAGAACAAGGACGUUAGUAACUGAACGUCCCCUGACGGUAUCUAACCAGAAAGCCACGGCUAACUACGUGCCAGCAGCCGCGGUAAUACGUAGGUGGCAAGCGUUGUCCGGACUUAUUGGGCGUAAAGCGAGCGCAGGCGGUUUCUUAAGUCUGGUGUGAAAGCCCCCGGCUCAACCGGGGAGGGUCAUUGGAAACUGGGGGACUUGAGUGCAGAAGAGGAGAGUGGAAUUCCAUGUGUAGCGGUGAAAUGCGUAGAUAUAUGGGGGAACACCAGUGGCGAAGGCGGCUCUCUGGUCUGUAACUAACGCUGAGGCUCGAAAGCGUGGGGAGCAAACAGG
This 429-nucleotide ribosomal RNA is filed under the name Gemmatimonadota bacterium. Its description in RNAcentral is "Gemmatimonadetes bacterium partial 16S ribosomal RNA". It matches the Rfam family "Bacterial small subunit ribosomal RNA", at positions 355 to 776 of the family's 1533-position model. Lineage: Bacteria; Pseudomonadati; Gemmatimonadota. The record is from RNAcentral.